UGCUCUGGUUAGAUUUCCUUAUCAGGUGGGCUGAAUGCUAUAUUUAGCAAUGUGUGGGGCUAUGAAUUAAUCUCCUUGCCUGGGUGGAGAAGAAGAACUGGCUCCAAGGCCAACCAGACUCUUUGCUUGUGGUCUUGACUCAAGCUGACCCAUGCCCCAAGUUCCCUGACCAAACAGGGCCACUGGCUUUGCUUUGCAAACUACUGGCCCUG
This is a non-coding RNA of Ceratotherium simum simum (southern white rhinoceros), 212 nucleotides long. NCBI's taxonomy places the organism in Eukaryota, Metazoa, Chordata, Mammalia, Perissodactyla, Rhinocerotidae. The record is from RefSeq and is a predicted model, not a curated record.